AGUGAACGCUGGCGGUAGGCCUAACACAUGCAAGUCGAACGGCAGCACAGUAAGAGCUUGCUCUUACGGGUGGCGAGUGGCGGACGGGUGAGGAAUACAUCGGAAUCUACUUUUUCGUGGGGGAUAACGUAGGGAAACUUACGCUAAUACCGCAUACGACCUACGGGUGAAAGCAGGGGAUCUUCGGACCUUGCGCGAUUAAAUGAGCCGAUGUCGGAUUAGCUAGUUGGCGGGGUAAAGGCCCACCAAGGCGACGAUCCGUAGCUGGUCUGAGAGGAUGAUCAGCCACACUGGAACUGAGACACGGUCCAGACUCCUACGGGAGGCAGCAGUGGGGAAUAUUGGACAAAGGGCGCAAGCCUGAUCCAGCCAUACCGCGUGGGUGAAGAAGGCCUUCGGGUUGUAAAGCCCUUUUGUUGGGAAAGAAAAGCAGCAGGUUAAUACCCCGCUGUUCUGACGGUACCCAAAGAAUAAGCACCGGCUAACUUCGUG
This 492-nucleotide ribosomal RNA is filed under the name uncultured bacterium. RNAcentral describes it as "partial 16S ribosomal RNA". It matches the Rfam family "Bacterial small subunit ribosomal RNA", at positions 29 to 507 of the family's 1533-position model. The record is from RNAcentral.